This 254-nucleotide ribosomal RNA is filed under the name uncultured bacterium. RNAcentral's name for it is "partial 16S ribosomal RNA". It matches the Rfam family "Bacterial small subunit ribosomal RNA", at positions 524 to 777 of the family's 1533-position model. The record is from RNAcentral.
UACGGAGGGGGCUAGCGUUGUUCGGAAUUACUGGGCGUAAAGCGCGCGUAGGCGGACCUGCAAGUCGGGGGUGAAAGCCCGAGGCUCAACCUCGGAACUGCCUUCGAUACUGCGGGUCUCGAGUCCGGGAGAGGUGAGUGGAAUUCCUAGUGUAGAGGUGAAAUUCGUAGAUAUUAGGAAGAACACCAGUGGCGAAGGCGGCUCACUGGCCCGGUACUGACGCUGAGGCGCGAAAGCGUGGGGAGCAAACAGGG